RNAcentral lists this ribosomal RNA (252 nucleotides) under uncultured prokaryote. RNAcentral describes it as "partial 16S rRNA". It matches the Rfam family "Archaeal small subunit ribosomal RNA", at positions 475 to 726 of the family's 1478-position model. The record is from RNAcentral.
ACCGGCGGCUCGAGUGGUGGCCACUAUUACUGGGCUUAAAGCGUUCGUAGCUGGCUUGUUAAGUCUCUGGGGAAAUCUUCCGGCUCAACCGGAAGGCGUCUCAGGGAUACUGGCAGGCUAGGGACCGGAAGAGGUGAGAGGUACUCCAGGGGUAGGAGUGAAAUCGUGUACUCCUUGAGGGACGACCUGAGGCGGAGGCGGCACACCAGGACGGCUCCGACGGUGAGGAACGUGAGUUCGGGGCGCAUACCG